The sequence is a ribosomal RNA, 631 nucleotides long. It matches the Rfam family "Bacterial small subunit ribosomal RNA", at positions 128 to 745 of the family's 1533-position model.
GCCCCUUAGACUGGGAUAACUCCGGGAAACCGGAGCUAAUACGGGAUAAUAAAGAGAAUCACCUGAUUUUCUUUUGAAAGACGGUUUCGGCUGUCACUAAGGGAUGGGCCUGCGGCGCAUUAGCUAGUUGGUAAGGUAACGGCUUACCAAGGCGACGAUGCGUAGCCGACCUGAGAGGGUGAUCGGCCACACUGGGACUGAGACACGGCCCAGACUCCUACGGGAGGCAGCAGUAGGGAAUCUUCCGCAAUGGACGAAAGUCUGACGGAGCAACGCCGCGUGAGUGAGGAAGGCCUUCGGGUCGUAAAGCUCUGUUGUGAGGGAAGAACAAGUACCGGGGUAACUACCGGUACCUUGACGGUACCUCACCAGAAAGCCACGGCUAACUACGUGCCAGCAGCCGCGGUAAUACGUAGGUGGCAAGCGUUGUCCGGAAUUAUUGGGCGUAAAGCGCGCGCAGGCGGCUUCUUAAGUCUGAUGUGAAAUCUCGGGGCUCAACCCCGAGCGGCCAUUGGAAACUGGGAAGCUUGAGUGCAGAAGAGGAGAGUGGAAUUCCACGUGUAGCGGUGAAAUGCGUAGAUAUGUGGAGGAACACCAGUGGCGAAGGCGACUCUCUGGUCUGUAACUGACG